Callithrix jacchus (white-tufted-ear marmoset) is the source of this 168-nucleotide small nucleolar RNA. Its record names the gene U3. It matches the Rfam family "Small nucleolar RNA U3". From Rfam's summary of the family: Small nucleolar RNAs (snoRNAs) are involved in the processing and modification of rRNA in the nucleolus. There are two main classes of snoRNAs: the box C/D class, and the box H/ACA class. U3 snoRNA is a member of the box C/D class. The record is from Ensembl. Lineage: Eukaryota; Metazoa; Chordata; Mammalia; Primates; Cebidae.
AAGACUAUACUUUCAGGGAUCAUUUUUAUAGUGUGUUACUAGAGAAGUUUCUCUGAAUGUGUAGAGCACCAGAAAUUAUGUAAAUAUAUGGAUGAUAUAAUUUCCAUUGCAAACAUCUGUUUGCCCCUUACUGGAUUACACUUUCCAGAUGUCUAAAUUCUGAGUAUU